This 900-nucleotide long non-coding RNA is filed under the name Salvia miltiorrhiza (redroot sage). Its description in RNAcentral is "long non-coding RNA (SMIL_LNC010031)". The record is from RNAcentral. Lineage: Eukaryota; Viridiplantae; Streptophyta; Magnoliopsida; Lamiales; Lamiaceae.
UAUAAAUUCCCGGCAAAAUUUUUAGCAGUUAUUUUUUCAAAUUUUAUACUUUGAAAAGACGUGGGUUUCAGCAAAAACUCAGUUGUUCUUCCAAAAUUUCAGCAACAAAUCAUUUUUUUUUUCAAAAUUUCAAUCACAUUUCAGAAAACACAAUAACAGAAACGAAAAUUCCAGUAAUAAUUCAACAGCCACGCAAACAAAAUUAAUUGAAAAUCUUCAUCAUAAAAAGGAAAAUGACAGACGAUAAUUUCUUAAGCAAUUGAACAAAUUUGUUUUACCCAAGAAAUUUUCUAAUUCAAAAUCUUGAAUGCGCUUUUUUCUUUUUCUUCUAUAUUAAAGAGAAGAUGAAAUUUUGAAUAGAAAAUAACUUCAAUCUGCGUAAGAAAUUGAACAAAUUUGUCUUGCAUAAAGAACUUUUCUUGAAUCUUCUUUUUCUCUUAUUAAUUGAGAUAAAAGAACUUGAAUAACUCCGAUGAAAGAAAAAGGGAAGAAGAAGCAGAAGCGGUGCUACAUUUCCGAUGCUAUUGUAAUUUCAACGCAUUCACUUCAACGAUCUGGGGCUAUCGACGCUUUCAACUAUACAUAAUUCUGAAAAUUGCAGUUUCACCACUAUUGUUUAUGAGAAUUAAGAAGAAGGUAAUGAAAUUAUUUUGCAAAAAAAGAAAGAAAAAAGAAGAAGAAGAAGAAGAAGAUAACCGUUGCAGAAAGAAGACGAAGAAAAUGAAAAGGGCGACGUUGUAGAAAGAAGAAAAGCGCAAGAAGAAGAAGAAGAGAACGCAGCGGCGCUGCAUCGAAAAAGAUGAAAUUCAUGGAAUUUUGAAUAGAAAGUAGGGUUUUCACUAUUCUUUCUUCGGUUUACUUGUAUUUGUAUUUCUUUUAAUUAAUUUUGGGGAAUUUAAA